RNAcentral lists this ribosomal RNA (301 nucleotides) under uncultured bacterium. RNAcentral describes it as "partial 16S ribosomal RNA". It matches the Rfam family "Bacterial small subunit ribosomal RNA", at positions 509 to 807 of the family's 1533-position model. The record is from RNAcentral.
CAGUCGCCGCGGGAACACGAAGGGGGCUAGCGUUGUUCGGAAUUACUGGGCGUAAAGCGCACGUAGGCGGAUCGAUCAGUCAGGGGUGAAAUCCCAGGGCUCAACCCUGGAACUGCCUUUGAUACUGUCGAUCUGGAGUAUGGAAGAGGUGAGUGGAACUCCGAGUGUAGAGGUGAAAUUCGUAGAUAUUCGGAGGAACACCAGUGGCGAAGGCGACUACCUGGUCUGGCAUUGACGCUCAUGUGCGAAAGCGUGGGGAGCAAACAGGAUUAGAUACCCCAGUAGUCCCUGUCUCUUAUAC